RNAcentral lists this ribosomal RNA (522 nucleotides) under uncultured bacterium. Its description in RNAcentral is "partial 16S ribosomal RNA". It matches the Rfam family "Bacterial small subunit ribosomal RNA", at positions 899 to 1397 of the family's 1533-position model. The record is from RNAcentral.
ACUCAAAUGAAUAGACGGGGACUUGCACAAGCAGUGGAUUAUGUGGUUUAAUUCGAUGAUAAACGAAAAACCUUACCAAGGUUGGAAAUUUAACUGAAGUACAGCAGAAACGUUGUACGUCUCACAAGGACAGUUAGACAGGUGAUGCAUGGCCGUCGUCAGUUCGUGAUUUGAAUUGUUCCCUUAAGUGGGGUAACGAACGCAACCCUCGUUGUCUGUUAUACGUAUCAGGCGAGACUGCCCAGCUUUUAGUUUUUAAAUUUAAAAUUUGAAAAUUGGAAGCUGGGAGGAAGGCGAGGAUGACGCCAGGUCAGCAUGUCCCUUUGAUACCUUGGGCUACACACAUAAUACAAUGGCGACUACAACGAGUUGCGACGGGGUAACCCUGAGCUAAUCUUAAUAAAAGUCGCCCCAGUUCAGAUUGGGGGCUGAAACUCGACCCCAUGAAGUUGGAAUUGCUAGUAAUCGCGGGUCAGCUAUACCGCGGUGAAUACGUUCUCAAGUCUUGUACACACCGCCCGU